This 326-nucleotide small nuclear RNA is filed under the name Tursiops truncatus (common bottlenose dolphin). Its description in RNAcentral is "7SK RNA (ENSTTRG00000023970.1)". It matches the Rfam family "7SK RNA". Rfam says of the family: 7SK was discovered as an abundant small nuclear RNA in the mid-70s but a possible function has only recently been suggested. Two independent studies have found that 7SK RNA binds the CDK9/cyclin T complex (known as elongation factor P-TEFb). P-TEFb activates transcription by phosphorylating the C-terminal domain of RNA polymerase II. The record is from RNAcentral. Lineage: Eukaryota; Metazoa; Chordata; Mammalia; Artiodactyla; Delphinidae.
GGAUGUGAGGGCGAUCUGGCUGCAGCAUCUGUCAUCCCAUGGAUCAUCAGGGUUGAUUCAGUUGAUCUGGUUGUCUAGGUGGUGUCUUCUCCCUCCCUCACUGCUCUAUGUGUGUCCCUUCUGAAGCUGCAUGCUCCGUCAAAGAGGCCGACCUUCCCUGAUAGAGGAGGACCGUUCUUCGGUCAAAGGUAGAUGAAUAGCUGUGCUCCCUGGCUAGGACCUCCAACAAGCCCUUUAAGUCCUUUUGCAGGAGAACAUAGGUCGUCAAGCUUCCAAAACUCCAGGCACAUCCAAAUGACAUGCUGCAUGUGGCAGAAUGUCUUUCU